Molecule: long non-coding RNA, 1365 nt
Organism: Crotalus tigris (Tiger rattlesnake)
Lineage: Eukaryota; Metazoa; Chordata; Lepidosauria; Squamata; Viperidae
Exons: 3
Source: RefSeq, a predicted model, not a curated record
GGUUCGCCAUCACUGCUCUAGACUCGUCUUAAAAACAUGGCUUAGACAUCUGCAGAGUAGUUUAUUGCAAUGAGCUCUAUGUAAGACUGCCCUUGAAGACUAUCCAAAAGUUGCAGCUAGUCCAGAAUACAGAAUACAGUUAUGAGCACAUCUCUGCCGUGUGAACUGUGUUAGUGUGCUUUCGGGUGGAAUUCAAGGUACUAUGGGUCGCCUAUAAAGCCUUCCAAGGAGUUCAGAUAUUUGCAGGACCCCUUUUCCAUGGUUGUUUCUACCUAUCCCAGUUUCUCUGACCGGAGGAGCGUGCAAUGGAUCCUUCAGUUAAAGAAUGACAUCUUAUGGGACCCUGGAAGUAUGAUAUUUUGUUGUGGUGCCUGCACUCUGCAGCAUCAUACCACCUGAGAUAGAUUGGCCCGGGCUCUGCUAGCCCUUUGUAAACUGAUGAAGACCUGGAUGUGUUCCAGGGCCAGGAGAUUGACAGAAUAUUGCAGAGAUGAUUGCCAAAAAGAGAAUCCCAUCCAAAUAUCUCAACUUGGAGAAGUGAUAUUAGAAGGAAUCCAAGCAGUUUGUAUUAGUUUUCAUCUUUCUAAUUGUAUGUUUAAUAAAAUUACUAUAAAAACGACUUCCGGUUCCGGAUCCCGGCACUCGCAGCUGUGCGAGGAGACUGCUCUCUUCGCCAGCUGAUUUUCCGCUGCCUAUAGACCCUUAAUCAGGUCUAAAAGCUGCCUUGGAGGGGCGGCUACUGCUGAGGAGAUCCUCAUCCAUGACAGCUUCUUCCACAGACUGAGAUUGCUCCUUUGGACCGAUGGUGGAAAGAAUGGCCAGUAAAAUGGCCAUUCAUUUUGCCGCUGUAACCAGAAGUCAGAAGAACAUCUAAGCACAGGAACCACCGUGGCUGAGCCAGGUGAGACUUUUUUUCUGCCUUUCUUGGGUUUCUUUUUUCUUUUGUGCCUAUAAAGAGCACUUUUGAAAUGAUUUCCCUACUCUUAAGAAAAUGGCGUUUGUGAGUGUGGGAAAAAGAAGCUUAAAUGGACUGAAUUAAUUUAAAGUGAUUUUUUUCUAUUUUUUUUCCUUCACUUGGGGAGUCUUGGAAAAUUUUGUGACUAUUGAAUCUGCUAUUGGACUUGAAUUAUCCUUUUUUCUGUGUUUCCUGGUCUUGUUUAUGAGAUUCCUGGUCUCUGGGAGAAGAUUUUACAUUGUACUGAGGACAUCUUGUGGAAAAAGUUAAAAUUGCAACUUUCUCUUUUUUCUGAGGAUUAGACAGACCUUGACUUUCAGAUUACCAUAAAAGGAAAAAUACAAAGAAAAUUAACAGCUGUACUGGUGGGGGUGGACACUGAUUAAAUGUUCCCUGAACACAGCCUCUAC